This is a long non-coding RNA of Daphnia pulex (common water flea), 3976 nucleotides long. RefSeq lists it as uncharacterized. The record is from RefSeq and is a predicted model, not a curated record. Lineage: Eukaryota; Metazoa; Arthropoda; Branchiopoda; Diplostraca; Daphniidae. The transcript has 10 exons.
GGUACUAAUUGAUUUUUAACUGUCGCCCAAACCGAAAGACCAGCAAAGACUUACACAACAAAGUGAUUCAAUGUCUCGUUCCCAGAUCGUUCCUGCUGAGAUAAUUAUCGUCGAUUUGCGUAUCACUAUAUAGUUCGAAUCACUUUACCACUGCACCAAGUGUUUCGUUUUCUAGCCAUCUUUUUCUGGGUAACUCGUUUCAGUGUAAUACUCUCAACUGGGACCAGCUUCUUUCCUUAUUUACAUUGCUGUGCCAAUCGAUCUUCUAGUAUAUUCUAGUUUUUCAUAUUCCUUUUUAUAAAACCUGCCAGGAGGUUUGUGUUUUUUAAGACAUAAAUCAGUUACAUCACAUCUGACCAAAAAUUAGUCAUUGAUUGUUGAUUGCUACAUUACAUCCAUCUUCUAACUUUAUAUUACAGUAUCAACUGACACAUUGUGCUCUAUUCAACUGUAGCAUGGUUUGAAAAUGUAAGCUCUUGAGGAGGGGGUAUACACAUAAAGAUGUUUUAAUUAUGGAGCUCAAGCAGCAAUGAAAAACAAUGCUUAGCUAAAACUGGUUUUAGCGAAGUUUUCAAGCUUGCUUGUCUUGUUGUUUGAACAUUCCUCAUUUUAUACUUGGGCCACUCUGACAGUUUCUACAACAUUUGAAUGAAAGAAAUCCAAAUUUUUCCGUGGAACUCUCAUGCUCAAGCCUCCAUAGCCCCACUUGUGACGAUGACUCAGUUCCAGUCCCACAAAAAGGAAAGGCGACUCGACAUUUUGAUGACGUGCAGGUGUUGCCCAUUGAGGGGUUUUGGUGACAAGGAGUCACUGAACGAAACGCUAAACCAAAUGAAAAAAAAAUAAUAUUAAAAAAUGUAAUGCUAGAUACGACAUGAAGCUUUUGCUUUCGCAGAAAAUAACGUGAAUUUGUUUACAGCCAACGAUCCUUUAUAGAUCCGAGCCGAGUCCUUUCCGUCUACAUUCGGUGUGAAGAGCAUAACCCAAAUUUCAACACAUUUUACUGCUUAGCAACGAAAACAAAGCGAGUGUCAAAACAUUGUUUUACUUGCGCAUACUUUAUUGUGGCAGAAACGCGUUGGUUAUGUAACAGGGUGAAUUUUUUCCCCCUUUUGUUGAUGCAGCAUCAAACGACACGGUUCCGGUGGUCAUCAACUAUUCAAGAUGGUAGACCUGUCAAUGUAAAAGACAGGAUUUUCUUCUCCGACCGCAGGUGCAAGGAUUAUGUGUUUGAAACUUAGAUAAGUUUGCAGUAGAAUAUUAAAAAAAAAUGCCGACUGUCCUUCAAUGGCUUCAAACGGUUCGAAAUGGAAGAUUUAUUCAUUCACCGAAGAAACGAGUCAAAUGACUCAAAUGUCAAAUGUGGUAUUUUUUAAGUGACUAAAAUUUAAGCCAUUAUCAUUUAUGAUUUGAUAUUUAUUUUGAUAUGGGUUUUUGUAGACCCAUCCCUAGCAAAGUCAACCUGCAGAAAGAAAAAGGCCAGUUUCUAUGGCCUUGACGCUCGAAGGUCACGGAGAUCAUUACGUAAAACGUGUCAUGCAGUAGUGUAGAGGUUGGGUGAGAACGACACGUGUUGCUUCAUUAUCAAAAAGGUCCAAUAGUCGCAAGACUUAGGAGGUGAGGGUGAGAAAAAAAUCGUAUAAAAGGAGAGAGAAAAGGUGAUUGAUACCAGUCGAGUGAACAUCUCCGACACGGCAACAACUCCAUUCUUCGUCGUAAUUUCAGUUCGCAAUCAUGGGUUAAUGUUCAUUUUUAUUUCUAGUCGUAAAUCAAUUCUAUCUUGUUUUCAGUUGUUGACAUGGCUAGUUAAUAAUUUUCAAAUUGUGUAUUGUAUAGUUAAUUAUGGCGUUGUCUUGCUGCCGGGUGUUGUAUCGUUGAUGUCGACUACGAGGACUGCAUAAAAGGAAAGAGAAAAGGCGACAGAAGUCAAUCAAGUGUGCAUCUCCGACCCGGCAAUAACUUCAUUCUUCGUCGUAUUUCCAGGUCGUAAUCACGGUUAACUAUGGCGUCAUGCAGCUAUUGGUUGUUUCGUCGAUAUCUGGGUGGACCACUGGUGUGCUGAUGCCCCUGGGUAUGGCGGAUACCAAACCGCAACGCCGCCGCCUUACUACACAACAACAUACGCAACGACCAGUUACUACACCGAGAACGCACAGUUAGGUUUACAGUUACACCGCCAAGGGUCCAGGUGCACCACAACUUAUGCUGCUCUGAGCUACUACACCGCAGCUUCGAAGUAUUUUUCUUCCCCAAUCUACACUACCGAAGCGCAUGUGCACACCUCCGAGGCUCGCAAGUACUACACCAACCAAGGCACCUGAGAUUACACAGCUACGUAUGCUGUCCCAAGUACUACACCAAGGCUCCAAAGUACUACAGCACUAAGGCACCGGACUACUACACGACUAUACAUGCUGCUCAACCUACGACACCGAGGCUCCAGCUUAUUACACCACCAAAGGGGUCGAACACAGUGGCGCCCAAGUACGAUGGAAAUCAGUCGGGUGAGCUUCUCCACCACCCAACACGGCAGCCCCGAAGUUUCGAAUAAACUUCGUUUCAAACAGUGGUACGGCGAAGAGCGAAGUCUCUUUUUCGAACAAGACGAAUUCUAUUGCAAUCCCUUCAAGCUAACGGUGGCGUUGCAGUCGUACAAUGACACCGCGUCGUUAAACUUGACAUUAUUGGUCGGAAAGCCGAACCUCAUGAUGGCCGUGCCAUCACCUACGACAAGUGCCUUGUAGGUGGUAAACGAAAAUCUUUGCCAGUCCUUGAGCGGUGUCCCUAAAGAUGUCCACGAGCAAUUGACGCUGUUCCACAACAUCUAUGGUCCAGUCCUCCCUAACUAUUUGAGACCAUGAACUUCCGAGAAGGUGGAAGCGGAAGACGUUAAUGAGUUGCCCAAAGCUAAUGUUAGGGGUGUAAGUUUGGAAGACGACAAGGUCGCAUUGACCUUAAACGAUGGUCAAAAGAUUUAAACUGACCAUGUCGUCGCUGCUGUCGGUUUGGACGUAAACACGGAUUUGGCUGUCGCUUCUGGAUUGAAAAUAGAUUCCAAUUUUGGUGGCUAUCGAGUCAAUGCUGAGCUUGAAGCACUACCAAAUGUCCGGUUGGCUGGAGAUGAUGCGUUUUUUUUUUGUGAUAGCAAAUUGGGUCGUCAUCGUAUGAAUCAUCACCACCGUGCUGUUGUGUCAGGGCGAUUGGCUGGAGAGAAGAAUACUGGCAACGAAACAUGGAUGAACAACUGAUGCAGUGCACUGUCACCAAGUGCAUUCUUCGUCGUAUUAUUAGUACGCAAUCGGUCAACUAUGAUGUCGUGCUGCUGUUGGUUGUUGUACCGUUGAUGACUGGGUUAACCUGGUGUACUCAUGUCUCCUGGGUAUGGCGGAUACCGAAACACAACGCCGCCGCCUUACUACACAAUAACAGCAUACAUACCAGUUACUAGACCGCCAAGGCACCAGAGUAUUACACCACACCUUAUAAUGCUCCGAGCUACUACACCGAAGCCCUAAAGUUUAACUCUGCCCCGAGUUACAUCAACGAAGAAGUCAAGUACUACACCGUACCUACACCGUUGGUACUGAUGUUGUGUUACCGAAGUUGCAUCAUAUUUUGUUAAAUUGUCAUCGUGGCUAUGGCAGUUUACCGUUUAUAAGUUCAGAAGCAACAAAAACAAAUAUGGGAUGUUUAUGUCAAACAAAUAAUAAACAAGUUUUGGGGGUUGGGAAGGAAAAGUGGUGGAUGUUGGAGGAUAUUUCAAGUUUGGAUAAAUAUUCAAUUAAUCUAUAACCCUACAUACGUAUCCCUACCAAUUAACCUCCAAACCCCACAAACAUAUGCCUUUUCUUCAAACCCCGAAAACAUACACCUACCAUACCAACCCUUAAAUCUAUACCCUCAACCCUAUAAACCAAUGUUAAACCUUAACCAUGUAACAUCUAUAAUAAAUAAAAAAAUACACUACAUGAAAUAA